ACAACAAUAUAUCUGAGUUUAUCAUGUUAUGCAUUACAGCUUACAGAUCACAGUGUGUCUACAAAGACACAAAACAUUUAGUCACAGUCAUCUGGAACUGAACAAUUUAGUAUUUUACUUUAUGAUCAAAACAACUUGUCAAGAUCUUCAAUUUGUUUUAAAUUUACAUUCAUUUUCACUUCUGUGCAGUAAUCCUGACCACCUGAACUGAAACACCACACAAACUAAAAGGGAAUGGUUAAGGUUAAGUUGCUCUCCUGCUUUUUAAAUGUAUAACAUUUAUCUAUAAAAAUGUCUAAAAGUUGUGGCAGUGCAUCAGUAAUAGGGUUCCAGCAAACCAAACUCUUGUACUGACAUUAUACUGCACAAUAUUUCCACAGUAACUAUUCAUUUUCACUCUGUAAGUAUUAAUUUUCUUCUCUGUAGUUUUACACUUUGCAAAUUCAUCCUGUGGACCAGAUUGGACCCUCUGGUGGGACGGUUUUGGCCCAUAAGCUAUAUGUUUGACACCGCUGCUUCACUGCUACCAACUGUUCCUGAGUGAACAGGAUGAAUUUUUCGUCCCUGGAUGUCAGAAAUGUGUAUUCCAUGUGCAAUAAUAUACCUUUCCCUGGACACUUUAAAGUAAAUCAAUAUAAUCUAAUACAAUCCACUACAGCACCGCAGUGACUCACAUUGCUAGUUUUGUAAUUAUAGGUUGCUUGAAAUCAUUCACCUUGACAGCAGAAUAUUGGAGAGGACAAUACAAUUUUCAUAUCAUCUUGACACACUGAAAGCAUCAACGGUGAUAUUGAAUUACUGUUCUAACCUAUAUGCAUUUUUUCCCCCUGGAUAUUGUCUUUUUGAUUUGAUGUCUGCUUAUCUGGGAGUCACAGUCAUAUUGAGAUUCCUGUUGACUGCUGAGGUUCAACAACACCACUGCGAGCUGAGGCACGACUUUCAUUUCAUUUUAAAGCACAAACCGCUCUGUAAUAUUCCUUUUGAAGAACCCAGUUCAUUCCAGCAACAAAGGGGAACGCGCACCGCCUCCACUCUCCACUCCAAGCGCACCAUAACAAGCAUCGCGGCCACCUGCUCUUUGACCCGCUUUCUUCAGCCUCCUUCACUCACGAGAAGGCCAAGUAUUGAAAUGAUUGAGGAACGAGGAGCUGCUCCACCUCGGCUGGUUUCUGCUGGCAAAGUCACCUCGACUGUCGCCUCGUCUUUUAAUUUUCCACCCCGGCGUUAAUGCAAAAGGCGUUUGGCAUCAGCAGUUAAGUGGGGCCAGAGCUGCUUCCACCUCCUGCAGGAAGAGGAAGAGGAAGAGGAGAGGAAGAGAAGGAGGAGGGACGAGCAGCUGAGAAAACGGCCACAACCUCCCUGUUUCUUCACUGAUUCAGAAGGAUGGUUGCCAGCAGGAGCCAGUUUGUCCGACGGGUUUGAACCGACGCCCUGCAGGAAAGAGACCCAGCCGGCUCAACCUUUCACUCCUGUUCAUCACUGUCUGGCCUCCUUUUUACUGAAUGAAGCA
Long non-coding RNA from Acanthochromis polyacanthus (spiny chromis), 1510 nucleotides. RefSeq lists it as uncharacterized. NCBI's taxonomy places the organism in Eukaryota, Metazoa, Chordata, Actinopteri, Pomacentridae. The record is from RefSeq and is a predicted model, not a curated record. The transcript has 3 exons.